GGAACUGUGGCUCAAUGGUAGAGCACCCGCCUUGCACAUGUGAGGCACUGGGUUCAAUCCUCAGCUCCA
This 69-nucleotide transfer RNA is filed under the name Ictidomys tridecemlineatus (thirteen-lined ground squirrel). RNAcentral's name for it is "Spermophilus tridecemlineatus (thirteen-lined ground squirrel) tRNA". It matches the Rfam family "tRNA". From Rfam's summary of the family: Transfer RNA (tRNA) molecules are approximately 80 nucleotides in length. Their secondary structure includes four short double-helical elements and three loops (D, anti-codon, and T loops). Lineage: Eukaryota; Metazoa; Chordata; Mammalia; Rodentia; Sciuridae. The record is from Rfam by way of RNAcentral.